UUGUGUUUCUCUUCACUGUAUUGUUAAUUCCCAGAACGGUGUUUUUGUGUCAGUGAUAUUCACUCAAGAAAUAUUUGAAGAAUGAGGGAACAAAGAGUGAAUGAAUGACCAACUGCCAACUUCAAUGGCCCUUUAGGCUCUCUCUCCCAUACAACCUCUUCUCUGCUGAAGAUGGGCUUCCUUGCUCAGGAGACCGACAAGCUGAAUAAGGACCUCCUGACCUGACUAAUGGCACCAGGAGACAUCUGCACCAGACUGAAAGGACUUCUGAUUUUGAAGCCCAGUCAAAUUCCUAUUUCAAACUAAGCAUCCUACCAGAGAAGAUUGCUGGGAGAUCUCGAAGCAGAGAACGUCAGAUGCAAAAAGGAUGAUGCCAACAGUCCAAACAGAGGGAAGAGCAAAGCCCAGAAGCUUGAAGGCUGGCCAUUCCAGUCUCAGAUUACUUCAGGGCAGAAGAGGGACUUCUGCAGUUGUAUGUGAUGGCCAUUCUCACAUCUCACAUCACAACAGCGAGACAAGACCAUGGUUACGAGCAUAACUAAGCCACUCUGCGGUGAGCCAGGGCCUUUCUGACUACUGAAGCGCUUCAA
Molecule: long non-coding RNA, 590 nt
Organism: Meriones unguiculatus (Mongolian gerbil)
Lineage: Eukaryota; Metazoa; Chordata; Mammalia; Rodentia; Muridae
Exons: 4
Source: RefSeq, a predicted model, not a curated record